UGAAAAGCAAUGAAGAGGACACGAGUGAUUGUUCAGGUGCACAGAGAGGGAAGGAUGCUGCGAACUUCCUGACCGUGAGCAAUCGCCCACCGCCUCGGAGUUUCAGCGGUGAAUAUCGAGUAGCCGCUGACGGCAGCGCCGUUAUUGGAUUAAGUGCCGCAGUCUUUUUGAUUGCGGAAGCAAGGGUGGAACCACGAGCAGAAACACUCGUCUCUUAU
Molecule: non-coding RNA, 218 nt
Filed under: Sporolactobacillus inulinus
Lineage: Bacteria; Bacillati; Bacillota; Bacilli; Caryophanales; Sporolactobacillaceae
Description: T-box sequence
Rfam family: T-box leader
About the family: Uncharged tRNA acts as the effector for transcription antitermination of genes in the T-box leader family. T-boxes are found upstream of many aminoacyl-tRNA synthetase genes and some amino acid biosynthetic genes usually in Gram-positive bacteria. The anticodon of a specific tRNA base pairs to a specifier sequence within the T-box motif, and the NCCA acceptor tail of the tRNA base pairs to a conserved bulge in the T-box antiterminator hairpin.
Source: RNAcentral